This 425-nucleotide ribosomal RNA is filed under the name uncultured bacterium. Its description in RNAcentral is "partial 16S ribosomal RNA". It matches the Rfam family "Bacterial small subunit ribosomal RNA", at positions 354 to 796 of the family's 1533-position model. The record is from RNAcentral.
GUGGGGAAUCUUGCGCAAUGGGCGAAAGCCUGACGCAGCCAUGCCGCGUGGAUGAUGAAGGUCUUAGGAUUGUAAAAUCCUUUCACCGGUGAAGAUAAUGACUGUAGCCGGAGAAGAAGCCCCGGCUAACUUCGUGCCAGCAGCCGCGGUAAUACGAAGGGGGCUAGCGUUGCUCGGAUUUACUGGGCGCAAAGGGCGCGUAGGCGGACAUUUAAGUCAGGGGUGAAAUCCCGGGGCUCAACCUCGGAACUGCCUUUGAUACUGGGUGUCUUGAGUAUGAGAGAGGUGUGUGGAACUCCGAGUGUAGAGGUGAAAUUCGUAGAUAUUCGGAAGAACACCAGUGGCGAAGGCGACACACUGGCUCAUUACUGACGCUGAGGCGCGAAAGCGUGGGGAGCAAACAGGAUUAGAUACCCCAGUAGUCC